GAUGAACGCUAGCGGCAGGCCUAACACAUGCAAGUCGAGGGGCAGCACAGAAAUAGCUUGCUAUUUGGGUGGCGACCGGCGCACGGGUGCGUAACGCGUAUGCAACCUACCUUAUACUGGGGUAUAGCCCGGAGAAAUUCGGAUUAAUCCCCCAUGGUAUUAUAGAUUGGCAUCGGUUUAUAAUUAAAGUAACAACGGUAUAAGAUGGGCAUGCGUCCUAUUAGCUAGAUGGUGAGGUAACGGCUCACCAUGGCUACGAUAGGUAGGGGGCCUGAGAGGGUAGUCCCCCACACUGGUACUGAGACACGGACCAGACUCCUACGGGAGGCAGCAGUUGAGGAAUAUUGGUCAAAUGGGCGCAAGCCUGAACCAGCCAUGCCGCGUGAAGGAAGAAGGUUCUAUGGAUUGUAAACUCUUUUAUUAGGAAUAAAACCUCCCGACGUGUCGGGAGCUGAAGGUACUAAAAUGAAUAAGCACCGGCUAAACUCCGUGCCAGCAGCCCG
RNAcentral lists this ribosomal RNA (503 nucleotides) under uncultured bacterium. RNAcentral's name for it is "bacterial SSU rRNA". It matches the Rfam family "Bacterial small subunit ribosomal RNA", at positions 28 to 517 of the family's 1533-position model. The record is from RNAcentral.